CCUACGGGAGGCAGCAGUCGAGAAUAUUGGUCAAUGGGGGAAACCCUGAACCAGCGACGCCGCGUGCGGGAAGAAGGCCUUCGGGUCGUAAACCGCUUUUAUUUGGGAACAAUCCCGAGAGCAAUCGAGGGAUGAGCGUACCUUAUGAAUAAGGGAGCCUAAUUCUGUG
RNAcentral lists this ribosomal RNA (169 nucleotides) under uncultured bacterium. Its description in RNAcentral is "partial 16S ribosomal RNA". It matches the Rfam family "Bacterial small subunit ribosomal RNA", at positions 338 to 507 of the family's 1533-position model. The record is from RNAcentral.